Molecule: long non-coding RNA, 827 nt
Organism: Lates calcarifer (barramundi perch)
Lineage: Eukaryota; Metazoa; Chordata; Actinopteri; Centropomidae
Exons: 2
Source: RefSeq, a predicted model, not a curated record
GCGAUGGAUACCGAAGCUGCACCGAGUUAAAACACCACGGAGUAUCCUGCCCGCUGCGUUUUCAACAACAACAGCGGCGUUUUCAGGAACAGACAUCCGAGAAAACUUAACGGAGAAGCGAAAGUUCCCUGCGGGCGGGAGUCACACGCGGCACACGGAGCCUGACGGUGUUAACAGCUGGUGAACAGUGGUGAAGUUCGGUGCAGGUUGGAGCCUCUGCUGUUUGUUUUGGCACAGGGACUGAGGCAGGAUGAUAAGUGCAGUGCGACCUGAGUUUUCUCUGUGGCCCCACCUGGUGGUACAACAACCUCCUGUAAAAAGCAGGGCCUCAGGCGUCCACCAAGCACCACACAUGACGAGCAGACGAUCUGUGCCAGUUUGAACAAGAGGAUUAAACACUGGUAACUCUUUCAGUGUACAUACGGGUGUGUUAGUAUUGUUUUGGGAGCUCUAAAAGUCAUUGUCACAUGUUAGUAUCCUGUUGAGACUAUCAGCUGAUGAUGAGGUUAUCAGCUGGCUCUGUAACAAAACCGAAAUUCACAUGACAUGAUUUCACCAUUUUGAUCAAUGUUUCCUGAACAGAUACAAAAAGUUUAAAAGCUUUAUAAUGUCAUAAAGUUGCAUGACUCUCCUCAGGUAAUGUCAAAGGGUGUUUAACAUUACAGGUGCAGAAAAAACAAAUGGGAGCAACAUAGUGAGAAUCUAAACAAGUGCUUUCAUUUUUAUUUGCAGUUUCACUGUUCAAUCACAGAUAAUCUAUUUCUCUUACACCCAGCAAGAAGAAAACACAACUGAAGAAAUGCCCACAUUCAUACUGUAUUUAAAAA